UGGGGAAUAUUGCACAAUGGGGGAAACCCUGAUGCAGCGACGCCGCGUGAGCGAAGAAGGUUUUCGAAUCGUAAAGCUCUGUCCUAUGAGAAGAUAAUGACGGUAUCAUAGGAGGAAGCCCCGGCUAAAUACGUGCCAGCAGCCGCGGUAAUACGUAGGGGGCUAGCGUUGUCCGGAAUUAUUGGGCGUAAAGCGCGCGCAGGCGGUCACUUAAGUCCAUCUUAGAAGUGCGGGGCUUAACCCCGUGAUGGGAUGGAAACUGGGAGACUGGAGUAUCGGAGAGGAAAGUGGAAUUCCUAGUGUAGCGGUGAAAUGCGUAGAUAUUAGGAAGAACACCGGUGGCGAAGGCGACUUUCUGGACGAAAACUGACGCUGAGGCGCGAAAGCGUGGGGAGCAAACAGG
RNAcentral lists this ribosomal RNA (403 nucleotides) under Verrucomicrobiota bacterium. Its description in RNAcentral is "Verrucomicrobia bacterium partial 16S ribosomal RNA". It matches the Rfam family "Bacterial small subunit ribosomal RNA", at positions 355 to 776 of the family's 1533-position model. Lineage: Bacteria; Pseudomonadati; Verrucomicrobiota. The record is from RNAcentral.